AAAAGCUCGUAGUUGGAGUUCAGAGUGAGCUCAGCUGGUCGGCCUAAUGGGUCCUUCCAAGAUGACUCUCUCUUGUUUGUGGGUCUCUCCCGGAGAUAACUCUUCGGAUGUGGAUCCCACAUCGUUUACCUUGAAAAAAUUAGAGUGUUCAAAGCAGGUGUUUGCUUGAAUAUAUUAGCAUGGAAUAAUGGAAUAGGACGCUGGUUCUAUUUUGUUGGUUUUGAGAACCAGAGUAAUGAUUAAUAGGGACAGUUGGGGGCAUUCAUAUUUCAUUGCCAGAGGAGAAAUUCUUGGAUUUAUGAAAGAUGAACUUCUGCGAAAGCAUUUGCCAAGUAUUUUUUCAUUAAUCAAGAACGAAA
Molecule: ribosomal RNA, 359 nt
Filed under: uncultured eukaryote
Lineage: Eukaryota
Description: bacterial SSU rRNA
Rfam family: Eukaryotic small subunit ribosomal RNA
Source: RNAcentral